This 52-nucleotide non-coding RNA is filed under the name unclassified sequences. The record is from RNAcentral.
ACUUUAAACCUACCAAGGGCGGUCCAAAGUCCGUGUAAAAGGCGAUGGGAGU